Molecule: RNase P RNA, 419 nt
Filed under: bacterium
Lineage: Bacteria
Description: RNase P RNA component class A
Rfam family: Bacterial RNase P class A
About the family: Ribonuclease P (RNase P) is a ubiquitous endoribonuclease, found in archaea, bacteria and eukarya as well as chloroplasts and mitochondria. Its best characterised activity is the generation of mature 5'-ends of tRNAs by cleaving the 5'-leader elements of precursor-tRNAs.
Source: RNAcentral
GGCAAGGAACGGGCGUUCGCUGGCGACUCCGUCAAAAGAGUUCGUUGGAGGAAAGUCCGGGCUCCAAAAGCAGGGUACUGGCUAACGGCCAGGCAUUUGUUCCACUGCAGUACUGGGUGAAACAAGUGACGGAAAGUGCAACAGAAAGCAAACCGCCUGCGACCGCAAGGUCGUCGGUAAGGGUGAAACGGCGAGGUAAGAGCUCACCGCGCCAGGAGUGAUCCUGGUGGCAUGGCAAACCCUACCUGGAGCAAGUUCAAAUAGGGAGGCCCGCGGAGUUUCGACUUCGCAAAGACCACGCUUGGUCGCAGCCUCCGGGUAAGAACGCUUGAGGUUCGCGGUAACGCGGACCCCAGAGGAAUGAACGCCUCCAUUGGAAACAAUGAAGACAGAACCCGGCUUACAGUUCCUUGCCAAUU